GAUGAACGCUGGCGGCGUGCCUAAUACAUGCAAGUCGAGCGAACAGACGAGGAGCUUGCUCCUCUGACGUUAGCGGCGGACGGGUGAGUAACACGUGGAUAACCUACCUAUAAGACUGGGAUAACUUCGGGAAACCGGAGCUAAUACCGGAUAAUAUAUUGAACCGCAUGGUUCAAUAGUGAAAGACGGUUUUGCUGUCACUUAUAGAUGGAUCCGCGCCGCAUUAGCUAGUUGGUAAGGUAACGGCUUACCAAGGCAACGAUGCGUAGCCGACCUGAGAGGGUAAUCGGCCACACUGGAACUGAGACACGGUCCAGAAUCCUACGGGAGGCAGCAGUAGGGAAUCUUCCGCAAUGGGCGAAAGAGUGACGGAGCAACGCCGCGUGAGUGAUGAAGGUCUUCGGAUCGUAAAACUCUGUUAUUAGGGAAGAACAAAUGUGUAAGUAACUAUGCACGUCUUGACGGUACCUAAUCAGAAAGCCACGGCUAACUACGU
This 496-nucleotide ribosomal RNA is filed under the name uncultured bacterium. Its description in RNAcentral is "partial 16S ribosomal RNA". It matches the Rfam family "Bacterial small subunit ribosomal RNA", at positions 28 to 506 of the family's 1533-position model. The record is from RNAcentral.